CUGCUCCUAGUACGAGAGGACCGGAGUGGACGCAUCACUGGUGUUCGGGUUGUCAUGCCAAUGGCACUGCCCGGUAGCUAAAUGCGGAAGAGAUAAGUGCUGAAAGCAUCUAAGCACGAAACUUGCCCCGAGAUGAGUUCUCCCUGACUCCUUGAGAGUCCUGAAGGAACGUUGAAGACGACGACGUUGAUAGGCCGGAUGUGUAAGCGCAGCGAUGCGUUGAGCUAACCGGUACUAAUGAACCGUGAGGCUUAACCUU
This 259-nucleotide ribosomal RNA is filed under the name Escherichia coli. Its description in RNAcentral is "partial 23S ribosomal RNA". It matches the Rfam family "Bacterial large subunit ribosomal RNA", at positions 2672 to 2925 of the family's 2925-position model. The record is from RNAcentral. Lineage: Bacteria; Pseudomonadati; Pseudomonadota; Gammaproteobacteria; Enterobacterales; Enterobacteriaceae.